RNAcentral lists this ribosomal RNA (1968 nucleotides) under Triticum aestivum (bread wheat). RNAcentral describes it as "partial small subunit ribosomal RNA". Lineage: Eukaryota; Viridiplantae; Streptophyta; Magnoliopsida; Poales; Poaceae. The record is from RNAcentral.
AUGGGUUCCAAACAAGUGCUCGUUCCUACCGUCUCAUGCUUGCUGCUCCUAUUCUGCCUUGGAUGCAAAUGCCUAGCAUUGGAAUUAGAGGCGACACAGACGGCCACCCUCAAGGUUGAUGCCUCGUCACAGCUUGCCCGAAAGAUCCCGGACACACUGUUUGGGAUGUUUUUUGAGGAGAUUAACCAUGCAGGAGCCGGUGGCAUAUGGGCAGAACUUGUUAGUAAUAGAGGUUUUGAAGCUGGGGGACUCCAUACACCAUCAAAUAUUGACCCAUGGUCUAUAAUUGGAAAUGACUCUUCCAUAUUUGUGGCGACUGACCGUACAUCAUGUUUCAGUCGAAACAUUAUCGCUCUUAGGAUGGAGGUUCUCUGUGAUGAAUGCCCAGCCGGCGUUGGCAUUUACAACCCUGGGUUCUGGGGCAUGAACAUAGAAGAUGGAAAGACCUACAAUCUAGUUAUGUAUGUUAAAUCAGCAGAAGCUGCAGAUUUGACAGUUUCAUUAGCAAGCUCUGAUGGGUUGCAGAAGCUCGCUUCAGUUACUGUACCAGUUGCUGGCACUUCCAACUGGACAAAAGUAGAGCAAAAACUGAUUGCUAAAGGGACAAACAGGACCUCAAGACUUGAGAUAACAUCUAACAAGAAGGGAGUUGUAUGGUUUGAUCAAGUAUCACUCAUGCCUUCAGACACGUUCAAGGGACAUGGUUUUCGCACCGAAUUGAUAUCCAUGCUUUUGGAUCUAAAACCACGAUUCUUGAGAUUUCCUGGUGGUUGCUUCGUUGAAGGCGAAUGGUUAAGAAAUGCAUUCAGGUGGAGGGAAUCUAUUGGUCCAUGGGAAGAGAGGCCUGGACACUUCGGAGAUGUUUGGCAUUACUGGACUGAUGAUGGCCUUGGAUAUUAUGAGUUUCUUCAGCUUUCUGAAGACCUGGGGGCUGCUCCAAUCUGGGUAUUCAACAAUGGAAUCAGCCACAAUGAUGAAGUUAGUACCGCUGCCAUUGCCCCUUUUGUAAAGGAUGUAUUGGACAGUCUAGAAUUCGCAAGGGGGAGUGCAAACUCAACAUGGGGCUCUGUUAGAGCUGCAAUGGGGCAUCCUGAACCGUUCCCAGUCAAAUAUGUUGCGAUUGGAAAUGAAGAUUGUGGGAAAAAAUACUACCUCGGUAAUUACCUCAAGUUCUACAAUGCUAUAAGAGAAUCCUAUCCAGACAUUCAGAUGAUUUCAAACUGUGAUGGUUCAUCUAAACCACUUGACCAUCCUGCUGAUCUGUAUGACUUCCAUGUCUACACCGAUUCUAAGACUUUGUUUAACAUGAAGGGUACGUUUGAUAAAACUUCUCGUACUGGUCCCAAGGCCUUUGUCAGUGAGUAUGCCGUAUGGAGAACUGAUGCAGGUAGAGGAAGCCUUCUUGGUUCACUAGCAGAGGCUGCCUUCCUUACUGGACUGGAGAAGAACAGUGAUAUUGUUCAGAUGGCAAGUUAUGCACCACUCUUUGUAAACGACAACGAUCAAACGUGGAAUCCAGAUGCUAUCGUCUUCAACUCCUGGCAACAAUACGGAACUCCUAGUUACUGGAUGCAGAAGUUUUUCCGCGAAUCUAGUGGUGCGAUGAUUCAUCCAAUUACAAUCAGUUCCAGCUACUCUGGUUCUCUAGCAGCAUCUGCUAUCACCUGGCAGGAUUCCGGGAAUAGCUUCCUGAAAGUAAAGAUUGUGAACUUUGGGUCAGACACCGUGAGCCUCACGAUCUCUGUGUCUGGGCUUCAGGCUAGCAUCAACGCGCUGGGGUCAAAUGCUACUGUUCUCACGUCCAGCAAUGUGAAGGAUGAAAAUUCUUUCAGUAACCCGAACAAGGUCGUGCCUGUGACGAGCCAGCUGCGCAACGCCGCGGAACAGAUGCAGGUCACACUCGCUGCCCACUCCUUCUCCUCGUUCGACCUUGCGCUUGCUCAGUCCGAGCUUGUCGCGGAGAUGUGA